GGGGGGGGGGGGGGGGGGGGCUGGCGGGGGCGGGGCGGGCGGGUGGAGGGGGCUUGCUCCGGGAGUCAGCGGCGGACGGGGGAGUGAGGCCUAGGGAUCUGGCUGGUGGUGGGGGAUAACGUCCGGCCACGGGGGCUAGUACCGCAUACGUCCUUAGGGCUGACGUGGGUGAUCUUCUGACCUCGCGCUAUCACAUGAGCCUAGGUCGGGUUAUCUAGUUGGUGGGGUAACGGCCUACCACGGCGACAAUCCGUAACUUGUCUGAGAGGAGGAUCAGUCACACUGGAACUGAGACACGGUCCAGACUCCUACGGGAGGCAGCAGUGGGGAAUAUUGGACAAUGGGCGAAAGCCUGAUCCAGCCAUGCCGCGUGUGUGAAGAAGGUCUUCGGAUUGGAAAGCACUUUAAGUUGGGAGGAAGGGCAGUAAGUUAAUACCUUGCUGUUUUGACGUUACCAACAGAAUAAGCACCGGCUAACUUCGUG
This 484-nucleotide ribosomal RNA is filed under the name uncultured bacterium. RNAcentral's name for it is "partial 16S ribosomal RNA". It matches the Rfam family "Bacterial small subunit ribosomal RNA", at positions 35 to 507 of the family's 1533-position model. The record is from RNAcentral.